GGCGGCUAGCCUGCAGGACAUAUAUUUUGCCAUCUAAACUUCAGAGGCAAUAUAUGUGUGAACUGCAUGUUGCUUUUGUUUCUUAUGGAAACAGUGGAUUUUUUGCAACCACGUCUUUUGUAUUAAAAAACGUUCAACUUCGUCCUGUUAAUUGUACAAUGUCUUUUCAUAUAAGUUAUGUUGAAUGUAUAUAAAAACCAAGCUGCUUAUCUUACCGACCCCUUUCACUCAUCUAACCCUCUGUUAUAUAGAAUUGUCAAGAAAAAGAAGUUAAUUGUGAUGAAAAAUGACCUCAGGCACAGAGAGCUGUAAAUGGAACUUGGGGCCAUCAUAGUGGUAGAGUAUGCACUGCAGGAAGCUAUGCACUUACUUCAACAGGAGGUUGAAAGAGCUCAAGCAAAGAAUUCCAAUCUCAAGAAAGGUAAAUUUUUUAGAAUCCUUCAGACAUUAAAAAUUUAGUAUUGUUAAGUAAGCUGUUGAAAUGUUAAUACUUUCUUAACAUGGGUGGUCUCUGGAAUUUGGUACUAAACUACAACAACAACAACAACAACAAAGCCUUUUCCAACUAAGUGGGGUCGGCUAUAUGAAUCCUAGAAUGCCAUUGCGCUCGGUUUUGUGUCAUGUCCUCCGUUAGAUCCAAGUACUCUAAGUCUUUUCUUAGGGUCUCUUCUAAAGUUUUCCUAGGUCUUCCUCUACCCCUUCGGCCCCGAACCUCUGUUCCGUAGUCACAUCUUCGAACCGGAGCGUCAGUAGGCCUUCUUUGCACAUGUCCAAACCACCGUAACCGAUUUUCUCUCAUCUUUCCUUCAACUUCGGCUACUCCUACUUUACCUCGGAUAUCCUCAUUCACAAUCUUAUCCUUUCUCGUGUGCCCACACAUCCCACGAAGUAUCCUUAUCUCCGCUACACCCAUUUUGUGUACGUGUUGAUGCUCACCGCCCAACAUUCUGUGCCAUACAACAUCGCUGGCCUUAUUGCCGUCCUAUAAAAUUUUCCCUUGAGCUUCAGUGACCUACGACGGUCACACAACAUGCCGGAUGCACUCUUACACUUCAUCCAUCCAGCUUGUAUUCUAUGGUUGAGAUCUCCAUCUAAUUCUCCGUUCUCUUGCAAGAUAGAUCCUAGGUAGCGAAAACGGUCGCUUUUUGUGAUCUUCGCUAGAUUGCUCCGGUCAUUAGUGUGGAUAAGUAUAUAAAUGGAUAGAGAUAGGAAAGCAAACACCAGAUGUACGUGGUUCACCCAUAUUGGCUACGUCCACGAAAUAGAGGAGUUCUCAUUAAUUGUGAAGGGUUUACACAAGUACAUAGGUUCAAGCUCUCUUUUAGUGAGUACAAGUGAAUGAUUUAGUACAAAUGACAUUAGGAAAUAUUGUGGGAGAAUGAUCUCGUAAUCACGAAACUUCUAAGUACCGGAGUGUGGUAUCGUCUUGACUUGCCUUAUCUGUCUCGUAGGUAGAUGUGGCAUCUUCUCUGGAAGUACUCUUCCUCCAUCCAGGGGUGGUAUCUUUAACUGAUGGAGAUGCACAAGGUAAUGUAUCAAUUUCACUUGAAGCUUACUUGUAGUUUCAGGCUUGGUCAAGCGCGAUACAAACCAUGUAGUAGGAGUCAUCCCAAGUCGCCGAGCUAGGGGAUCUGCUGAAAGAGGGUGACAGACAAGGUAAGCAAUCAGAGCUCCAAGCAAUCAGUCCCAGAUCAGAACUUUGAUUUCGAGUUCCGGCUGAUUGUUCACAUUCUCCCUAUCUUGCAGGCAGCAUGAAGGAUAAAGAGAAGAAAAAUGAGAAGAGAUGAUAUGGGAUACUUUUGCUUUUGAAGAAGUAACUUUCCACAAGGCUUAUUCUUGAACUGGGCUGGAGGGUUUUCUGGUUUCCUCCAGAGUAUAAGGCCGACUGAAGAAUUUGAGGGUCAAAACAAGUCCAUCAAAUCUAGAGUACGUUCGACCCUGCUGAUAUGGGAUACUUUUGCUUUUGACAGAAGUAGUGGAUGUAUCGGCACGUGUGCUGUUACGCUUGUCUCCACAUGCUUCCUUGUAUCCUUCUCACUUGCCCUAUAUGUUCCUCAGGCAGAUGCGGUAUCUUCCCUGGAAGCAUAAGAUGUUGAAGAUGAGUACUCGAGAGCAAUGUCCAGGUAAGUAAUCAAGGUAAGGGGUUCCAGGCAGUCAGUUCCUGACUGGAAGCUUGAUUCCAAGUGUUGACUGAUUGCUCUCUUUCUCCUUGUCUUGCAGGUAAGAACAAGGCCAAAGGAAAAGACAGGGAAAAAACAUGAUAUGGGAUACUCUUGCUUUUAACCCUGAUGAUAUGAGAUAUUCUUGCUCUAGUGUAGCUUGUUUGCAGAGGUAUUAUCGGGGGGAAAGAAAGCUGAAUAUUUCGAAAGGCUUCGUUGGGAGUGCCCUCUCAGAUAUGAGGAAGGGUUGAGCAUUUUUGCAGGUCUGCCUGUCCGUUGAGGAUGGAGGUCAACAUAUAUAGGAGUCUCCCUAACAACAAGUAGUAAUGCUAUUCCUUUACCCUGCUUGGUCAUAACACGGUAGUGGGAGCUGCCAGCUUCACAUGUUUUAACUCUGUCAGAGCACUUUGAAAAAGUGGUCUGUGGUAUCUGGAAAGCUGAUGUUGCGUGUGAAGAUUACAGACAAGCUUUAUCCAAGGAGAUCUGGCUCUUGAAGUUGGGAAAGUGGUGCUUCUUCGGUUUUCGAACAAGAAAUCCUAUCGGAGAUCUGGCUCUCGAGAUUCGGAGAACGAUGCCUUUUCGAUUUUUGAGAAAGCAAUCCUGCUAGGGGUCUGGCUCUCGAGAUUCAGAGAGUGGUGUCUCUUCGAUUUUUGAGAAAGUAAUCAUGUUGGGAGUCUGACUCUUGAGAUUCGGAGGGCGGUGCCUCUUCGAUUUUGGAGCAAGCAAUUUUGUUGGGAGUGUUUUCUCGAAUGUGAGUAAAGGUUGGGCAUGUUUGCUAGUCUAUCCUUGCCACGAAGCACAGAGGUUGACACACAGGGACUUUCCAAUUAUCCAGCAGUGGUACUGUUCCUUUACCCUUGUGGGUAAUAAUAUGGUAGCUAGACCUUCAAAAUUUAUGUGUCUAAACUUUGUUAGUGCUGUUUCUUUGCUAUUCUGUUACCCUUCUUGGUCAGAGCGGUGUAGUGGGAGCUGCAAGCUUCACGUGUCUCAACUUUGUCAGAGAACUUUGGCAAAGUUAUCUGUGGUACCCAUGAGCUAAUGUUGCGUGUGGGAAGUGGGUGAUUGAACAGUAAGAUUCAUGUGCUUUCUACUUCACCAGAAAUCUUCGACAGAAUGCCCAUAAUUUCCGCAAAGCUGACAGUGGUGCUGACAAGGCUGGAAAAGUAGGUGCCUCUUCGAUUUUUGAGAUCGGCCUUCGUGGUCUUUGAGCAGCCCAACUUUUGAGAAAGCAAACGUCUCGUGGUCUCUGAGCAGCCCAGCUUUUGAGAAAGCAAACGCCUCUUUCGAUUUUCUGAAGCUCCGUCGAGUGCAGAUUUUUAUAGAGGCCGGCAUUAAGUUCCAAAGCACACUUGAAUCUCCACCAGUAGAAGCUCCAUUCUUGCACUUCUAAGAUCUUGAUUUGUCCGACCUCUUCUCUCUUCAACACCUUUGAAAAUGUCUGGCCCCUCCCGACCGUCGUUUUGACUUGAACCUUGUUGAAGAGGCAGCCACGCCUUCUCCAGACAACAUAUGGCGCCCAUCCUUCGUCUCCCCUACUGGUCCUCUUACCGUUGGGGAUUCCGUGAUGAAGAAUGAUAUGACCGCUGCGGUAGGUGGCCAGGAACCUUCUCUCACUCCCAAAGAUAACAGACUACUUUCCAAACGGUCUGAUGAGUUGGCUGUUAAGGAUUCUCUGGCUCUCAGUGUUCAGUGUGCAGGUUCUGUGUCUAAUAUGGCCCAACGCCUAUUUGCUCGAACCCGCCAAGUUGAAUCAUUGGCGGCUGAAGUGAUGAGUCUCAAACAGGAGAUUAGAGGGCUCAAGCAUGAGAAUAAACAGUUGCACCGGCUCGCACAUGACUAUGCUACAAACAUGAAGAGGAAGCUUGACCAGAUGAAGGAAUCUGAUGGUCAGGUUUUACUUGAUCAUCAGAGAUUUGUGGGUUUGUUCCAAAGGCAUUUAUUGCCUUCGUCUUCUGGGGCUGUACCGCGUAAUGAAGCUCCAAAUGAUCAACCUCUGAUGCCUCCUCCUUCUAGGGUUCUGUCCAGUACUGAGGCUCCAAAUGAUCCCCCUCCGGUGCCUUCUCUUUCUGGGGCUCUACCGACUGCUGAGACUUCUCCUAAGCAACCUUUGUGAAGGCUCCCUCUUGUUUGUUUAUUUUGACUCAUGUAUAUGUACAUAUUUGUGAACUUAUCGGGGAUAUCAAUAAAUAAGCUUUCCUUCAUUUCAACGUAUUGUGUUAAAUACACCAAAGCCUUCUUCGCUAAGUUCUUUGAAAUUUUCUUUUGUUGAAGCUUGUAUGUUGAAGCUUUGUGAGUGGAGCAUGUAGGUUGAGGUAGUGUUCCCUUAAUUUCUCCGAGUGAGGAAAACUUCUCGGUUGGAGACUUGGAAAAUCCAAGUCACUGAGUGGGAUCGGCUAUAUGAAUCUUUGAACGCCAUUGUGCUCGGUCCUGUGUCAUGUCCUCCGUUAGAUCCAAGUACUCUAAGUCUUUUCUUAGAGUCUCUUCCAAAGUUUUCCUAGGUCUUCCUCUACCCCUUCGGCCCUGAACCUCUGUCCCAUAGUCGCAUCUUCUAAUCGGAGCGUCAGUAGGCCUUCUUUGCACAUGUCCAAACCACCGUAACCGAUUUUCUCUCAUCUUUCCUUCAAUUUCGGCUACUCCUACUUUACCCCGGAUAUCCUCAUUCCUAAUCUUAUCCUUUCUCGUGUGCCCACACAUCCAACGAAGCAUCCUCAUCUCCGCUACACCCAUUUUGUGUACGUGUUGAUGCUUCACCGCCCAACAUUCUGUGCCAUACAGCAUCGCCGGCCUUAUUGCCGUCCUAUAAAAAUUUUCCCUUGAGCUUCAGUGGCAUACGGCGGUCACACAACACGCCGGAUGCACUCUUCCACUUCAUCCAUCCAGCUUGUAUUCUAUGGUUGAGAUCUCCAUCUAAUUCUCCGUUCUUUUGCAAGAUAGAUCCUAGGUAACGAAAACGAUCGCUCUUUGGUAUUUCUUGAUCUCCGAUCCUCACCCCUAACUCGUUUUGGCCUCCAUUUGCACUGAACUUGCACUCCAUAUAUUCUGUCUUUGAUCGGCUUAGGCGAAGACCUUUAGAUUCCAACACUUCUCUCCAAAGGUUAAGCUUUGCAUUUACCCCUUCCUGAGUUUCAUCUAUCAACACUAUAUCGUCUGCGAAAAGCAUACACCAAGGAAUAUCAUCUUGAAUAUGUCCUGUUAACUCAUCCAUUACCAACGCAAAAAGGUAAGGACUUAAGGAUGAGCCUUGAUGUAAUCCUACAGUUAUGGGAAAGCUUUCGGUUUGUCCUUCAUGAGUUCUUACGGCAGUCUUUGCUCCUUCAUACAUAUCCUUUAUAGCUUGGAUAUAUGCUACUCGUACUCCUUUCUUCUCUAAAAUCCUCCAAAGAAUGUCUCUUGGGACCCUAUCAUACGCUUUUUCCAAAUCUAUAAAGACCAUGUGUAAAUCCUUUUUCCCAUCUCUAUAUCUUUCCAUCAAUCUUCGUAAGAGAUAGAUUGCCUCCAUGGUUGAGCGCCCUGGCAUGAACCCGAAUUGGUUGUCCGAAACCCGUGUCUCUUGCCUCAAUCUAUGCUCAAUGACUCUCUCCCAGAGCUUCAUUGUAUGACUCAUUAGCUUAAUACCCCUAUAGUUCAUGCAAUUUUGUACGUCGCCCUUAUUCUUGUAGAUAGGCACCAAAGUGCUCGUUCGCCACUCAUUUGGCAUCUUCUUCGUUUUCAAAAUCCUAUUGAAAAGGUCAGUGAGCCAUGUUAUACCUGUCUCUCCCAAAACUUUCCACACUUCGAUUGGUAUAUCGUCUGGGCCUACUGCUUUUCUAUGCUUCAUCUUCUUCAAAGCUACAACCACUUCUUCCUUCCGGAUUCGACGAUAAAAAGAGAGUAGUUUCUACACUCUUCUGAGUUACUCAACUCCCCUAAAGAAGCACUCCUUUCAUGUCCUUCAUUGAAAAGAUUAUGAAAAUAACCUCUCCAUCUGUCUUUAACCGCGUUCUCUGUAGCAAGAACCUUUCCAUCCUCAUCCUUGAUGCACCUCACUUGGUUUAGGUCCCUUGUCUUCUUUUCCCUUGCUCUAGCUAGUUUAUAGAUAUCCAACUCUCCUUCUUUGGUAUCUAGUCGCUUAUACAUAUCGUCAUAAGCCGCUAACUUAGCUUCUCUCACAGCUUUCUUCGCCUUUUACUUCGCUUUUCUAUACCUUUCACCAUUUUCAUCGGUCAUAUCCAGUAUAAGGCUUUACAACAUUCCUUCUUAGCCUUCACCUUUGUUUGUACCUCCUCAUUCCACCACCAAGAUUCCUUUUGGUGUGUGGCAAAGCCCUUGGACUCUCCUAAUACCUCUUUUGCUACUUUUCGGAUACAACUAGCCAUGGAAUCCCACAUUUGGCUAGCUUCCCCUCUCUAUCCCACACACACUGGGUGAUUACUUUCUCUUUGAAAAUGACUUGUUUUUCUUCUUUUAGAUUCCACCAUCUAGUCCUUGGGCACUUCCAAGUCUUGUUCUUUUUUCUCACUCUUUUGAUAUGUACAUCCAUCACCAACAAGCGAUGUUGAUUAGCCACGCUCUCUCCUGGUAUAACUUUGCAAUCCUUACAAGUUAUACAAUCCCCUUUCCUCAUUAGAAGAAAAUCUAUUUGUGUUUUUGACGACCCACUCUUGUAGGUGAUCACAUGUUCUUCUCUCUUCUUAAAGAAGGUGUUGGCUAAGAAGAGAUCAUAUGCCAUUGCAAAAUCCAAGAUAGCUUCCCCAUCCUCGUUUCUCUCCCCAAAACCAUGGCCACCAUGAAAACCUCCAUAGUUGCUUGUCUCCCUGCCCACGUGUCCAUUUAAAUCUCCUCCUAUAAAUAACUUCUCCGUCUGAGCAAUUCCUUGCACCAAGUCUCCAAGGUCUUCCCAAAAUUUCUCCUUCGAACUCUUAUCCAACCCUACUUGAGGUGCGUACGCACUAAUCACAUUGAUAAGUUCUUGUCCUAUUACAAUCUUGAUUGCCAUGAUUCUAUCUCCUACCCUCUUGACAUCUACAACAUCUUGUGUCAAGGUCUUGUCCACGAUGAUGCCAACACCGUUUCUUGUUCUAUUUGUGCCCGAGUACCAAAGUUUAAACCCUGAGUUUUCUAGAUCCUUUGCCUUAAGACCAACCCACUUAGUUUCUUGUAGGCACAUAAUAUUUAUCCUUCUCCUCACCAUAACUUCCACUACUUCCAUAGAUUUUCCCGUUAAGGUUCCUAUAUUCCACGUUACUAAACGCAUUCUACUCUCCUGAACUCUACCCUUCUGUCCUAGCUUCUUCACCCUCCCCCGUCCAAUAGGAAUCAAAGUACUUCUUUUGUGUGUCCCGUGUAAAGUUGAUAGGUGCAUAUGCUCCCAAACAACUUUGAGUGGAGUCGUUCGAAAAGAAGUUUCUAUGGCCCCCUUGCUCAUUUAAUACUGCAUCCGAGUGCCUAUGGAGAUACAGCGACCUUUGCUCACUUAUCACUGUGCUCGGGCCACACAGCGCGCCACUUACGGGUGACGCCCUAGCUUUGGCGCGAUUUCGUUCUGAAUUCAUUUUCAUAAGGAUUCGACGUAACUGUGGAGUGCCGGCUGUCGACUACCUGACGCCCUCCCCCUCCUCCUUUACCUGGGCUUGGGACCGGCAAUGUAAGAUAAACUUACAUAGGCGGAGUUUUGGUACUAAACUACUAAUUGAUGAAAAACAUAUUAGCGAACGGGGUACCUUCGAUCUUCAUACGUUGGCUUUUCUUGGUCUUUUCGUGAUCAAGACACUAGGCGGUAGAUAGGGUACGUUGUUUGCUUCUCUUGUCUCAUUUGGUUUUGUAUUCUGUUUGUUUCUUUCAUUUGUAAUCGGAACAUGACAGAGCAAACCAAAAUGUUCCAGCUAAUAAUCACUUUGUAGCUUGCCUUGUUAUCUCAACACCCAAUGUCAUGGAAACUCCAGAAAGGUUUAGUAUAUUUUGUCAUUUGUAAUCUAAACUUUGAUACUCUUUGGUGACGUCAUCGGAGCGUGUAAGAUUUCUCUCCGUUCUCUUCCUUGUUCUAGUGUAAUCUAUCUCCUCAUAAUGUCAAAUCAAGCAUUUGGUGCCAUCAUUGGAGCGUGUAAGAUUUCUCUCCGUUCUCUUCCUUUCGGUCUUGGUUUGUUAGUUGUUUGUAUUUUCGUUCAGGAGAAAUAAUAGUGAUUUGUUACUGGUGUUCUAUUGACAGGUAUUGGUGUUGUGCUCUUGGGUAAGAUCUCAUCUCUCUCUCUCUCUCUCUCUCUCUCAUCCCUUCAUUCCCAUGCUUUCCCAUUCUGAUCGUAUUGUCAAUUUGAUUCGUUCUUACUGCUAUUCCUUUCUGUUUUGAUUCUAAGUAGCAUGUUGUGAAUUCAUACAUUUUGCAGUAAUCAUUGUCAUCAUUGUUGUGAAGGUCAACAUCUUUGUUGUAGCAUACAAAGAAAAUAAGAAAGGAAGUAGAAGUCCCGUUAAUAUGGAAAGAGCGAAAACCAUCAGGUUUGAUGCUCAACAACUUCAGACUACAGCAAAUAAUUUUACCAACUUGUUAGGUUCGGGAGGUUUUGGUGCAGUUUAUAAAGGGAUAUGUGGCAAUGGAGUCCUUGUGGCUGUGAAGGUUCUAAAUGGGAGCUCGGACAAGAGAAUUGAGGAACAACUCAAGGCGAAGUUAUAACUGUUGGAAAAAUUCAUCGGGUCAAUCUGGUCCGUCUUUAUGGUUACUGCUUUGAGAGAAACCUCAGAGCACUGGUUUAUGAGUAUAUGGAAAAUGGCUUGCUUGACAAGCUCUUAUUCGAUAGCAACGAGGCUUUAAUAUUUAAAAAGCUUAAUGAAAUUUCGGUUGGGACAGCCAGAGGCAUUGCGUACUUGCAUGAAGAAUGCCAACAACGCAUAAUCCAUUAUGAUAUAAAACCUGGAAUUGUUCUUUUGGAUCAAAAUUUCCUUCCUAGAGUUGCCGAUUUUGGUUUGGCCAAGGUAAGUAACAGGGACAAUACUCAUAUAUCGAUGACAGGAGGGAGGGGGGACUCCUGGUUAAGCUGCACUGGAACUUUGGCUGCAAUUCUCUGUAACUCCCAAAUGUGACGUCUACAGCUUUGGGAUGCUAUUGUUUGAGAUCAUUGGUAGGAGAAAGAACCAUGACAUCAAUCUUCCUGAUAGCCAAGAGUGGUUCCCAGGUUUGGUGUGGAAGAAGUUUGAAUCCAAAGAGCUAGGAGAGUUAAUGGUAGCUUGUGGGAUAGAUGAAAAAGAUAAAGAGAUAGCAGAGAGAAUGGUAAACGUAGCUCUGUGGUGUACUCAGUAUAGGCCGGAGUCGAGGCCUUCGAUGAGCGGUGUGGUAAAAGUGUUGGAAGGAGAUAUUGAGAUUCCCAGACCUACAACUAACCCUUUUCAGCACUUUGAUUCCAGGCAAUCCAUACCCUAAUGCACCUAUCUACAAUUCUUCAGUUGCAACAAAUAGUACUUGAGCUUUGGAUUCAGAGUUAUCCCAUACUGUAACUGGAUAUAGCGGUGUGUGCGCUACUCCUCUCAUGAGGAAAUAUGAGCUGGAAAUAGCGUCUACCUAGGUAAGCCGAUGUAAAUCCCUCAUGGUCUCUCUCUCUCUCUCUCUCUCUCUCUCUCUCUCUAUAUAUAUAUAUAUAUAUGUAUAUAUUGUGAAGGGUCAUAUAUCUGGAAUUGUGAACAAUAAUUAAUACUAGUGUGCCAACUUUUUGUUUGAUUAAAAUACAGUUACUCUAUUCUUUCUACAAGGAGCUGC
RNAcentral lists this long non-coding RNA (9879 nucleotides) under Malus domestica (apple). RNAcentral's name for it is "long non-coding RNA (MDOM_LNC012592)". Lineage: Eukaryota; Viridiplantae; Streptophyta; Magnoliopsida; Rosales; Rosaceae. The record is from RNAcentral.